UAAUGCUUCUUUUUUUCUUCCCUAUCCAUGAUUGAUGUGUUUCUAAUGCACAAAUUUUUUUUUUCUUUUACUGUAUGAACGUAUUGUACGAAUUGCCCAUGGUCCUGUGUCUGUUAUUGUGUAUGGAGACCAAGACAAACCAGCACUGCUUGCCUAUCCUGAUUUAGCUCUAAAUCGUAAUUCUUAGAUUUGUUCCUUCCUAUUUCUUAUGUUUAAACUUGAUUCUUACACUUAGCAGUUUCUGUGUUUCGUUGUCGUAAUUCUUAGGGUUUUUCUCAUAAUUUUAGUUUAUGUUGCAGCGGACCCCUCCUCUUUAAAAUCUGGUAUUAGCAAGGUAGCACUGAUUGGCAUUGCACUUGGGACGAUUGCAGGUGCAGUUACGUUAUCUGCAAUUGUAUCACUUCUUAUAUUGAGAUUGAAUACGAGAAAACGCCAUACAUCUUCAAGAAGACAUCUAUAUUUGCUGAGUUGAGGAUAUCCUUGUUGAAGGCGGUAUAGAAGGAUCCGUUAUUCAUUUCCAUAGGGCAAGAACUAUAACUAUUGAUUCUCUUGGAACAAUUAAUGCAUCGGGAAUGGGUAUGUAUUUUUUCUUUACUUAAAAGUUGUUGUUAAAUAAUGAUUUAUUGGCAAACUUCUGCUUUCGCUUCUCUCUGCAGAGCUGUGUAAUUGGUGUGGUGUAUUCUCUAUUUUUUACAUUUACUUCAUUGAAGGGGUAAAAAAUCUUGCUUUCAAGUAAAAGAGGAAAACAAAUUGUCCUAA
This is a non-coding RNA of Camellia sinensis, 759 nucleotides long. Lineage: Eukaryota; Viridiplantae; Streptophyta; Magnoliopsida; Ericales; Theaceae. The record is from RefSeq and is a predicted model, not a curated record.